GGGGAAAGAGAGCAAGCCUUGUUUCCUGUAGAGCAUUGUGGCUGGAGGUUGGGAGGUUUUUCAAAACACUUCUUGUGUGUGUGAACAGCUGCCAAACAUCUCACCAAGUGUUGCUGAGUAGCUUCUAACUUGGGUGAGCUCCCACAAAGGGUGAAGAGGACAAGGAGGUGUAAGCUGCAGAGCUGGGGCUGUGGAUUGGUUUCGGUGUCACAAGUGCUUCCAGGUAAUGCUGAGUCUCAGCAGCUUCAUGAGAGCUGGAUGUGAUGGGCUUGUGCUACUGCAAAGGGGUGUGCAAGUCUGGGGUUAUAACCUCAGAAAAAGAAGCCAGCAAUUACACCUGCCAGCAUUUUCCCCUGGCCACUGGUGCAAUUACCCAUCAAGGAUAAUUGACAGCAAGAUAAUAGGGAUUCUCACAAAGAGCUCAGGAAGCGUUAUGCUGAAAAAAGAAAUACAAAACUCAUCGCAGAACCCGUUGAAGCUUUUAUGGGCUGUAGGCUGUCAGCAUUUCCAUCGUGGUUCCCUGCAUGCAGAAGUCGACAAUUCAGCUAUAAAUAAUCACUGCUGGUUGGAAAUUGGGUGUGUAAAACUCUAGCUAGAGUCAAGUCAUCGUCUCUGUAAAAAGAUACAUAAAGGAGGUAUUCUAAACAACAAAACUUCUUGUCAUUCCUGUUACACUCAAAAAGAAUAUAUGAGCCCAACAAUAUGCUUUUAUUUGAUUUGAAAAAGAAAAAAAAAAAGAUUAUUUACCUACUUCUCCUCCUUGUACAUUUGUAACGUGAAAUUCCAUGGGAAUGUUAAAAAUGACUGUACUUUCUCCAAAGCUGUCAUCUAAAUUCAGUGGAAAAAAACUCCAGGCACAUCAGGUACAGCACAUCGCUCUUCACCUGUACACCAUCCGUGGCUGUAGGGUGCUCACAGCAGAGCUGCAGAAGCAGGGCAGCCCCAACUUCUCCUGCCCCUGGAGAGUGUUUUCUGGUGGGCCACCCAUCCUGACAGAGCAACUGAAUGUCAGCCUAAACUCCUACGGUCCUCUUGAAGAGGGGUCAGGGCUUUUUGAACCAUUACGUAUCUGGAACCAGCUCUUAAUGGUAAGAGCUGCAGGUUGUACUAAUCACAUAACAAAUGAGCACACUCUCUAUGCAAGGUUUUCUGUAGCACAGGACUGCACAGCCUGAAAUACCAGCCAGUUCCACUGGGACAGAACAUCUCUGGUCUUCUGGGCUACAAGGAGAAGUUCACUCAUUUCCCAAAUCUGAUUCCAUUCUGAUUUGAAAAGAAUUUAGAAGUAAUAUUUUCAGGCUGUGAUUACCUGUCAUAUCAAGUGAAGUGAUGAUAGCUGAGAAAGAUGCCUUCUUAUCUUUUCCUUUUGCUGUAUCCAGCUCAAGAUGGGUGAUGUUCACCUUCCCUGUUAUGUCUGUGAUACAAGCUGAUAGUCAAGAUUUAAUCCUGGGGAAUAGUUUCAGUCCCUUGAGCCUGCUACAGUGCAGCAGAUGCUCAAGUAGUCCAACUUCAGUUAAACUCUUAUGUCUCAAUUUAAAAACCAGAUGUAUUAUUUUGUAGUUAUAUUCCACUCGAGGUCCAACAACAGGAAAAAAUUAGAAAGAAGUGUGGUGUGAGUUGAACAGUUUUCACUUUAAUGGUAUUUUAAUAAUCAGGAAAGUCACCCAUGUAUAGUAACAAUAAAUUGCUUUGCUACAGGGUAAUAUAAACUUUAACAAGUAUAAUAAAUAUUUCUGCUUGACCAAGAAAACUGAAAUAGUGGAAACUGUUUAAAUGUGUGUAUCAGAAUGAAUGAAGAUGAAAAAAUGAUGAGUAUUAAAAAAAAUAAUAAUUUAUAUUUUUGUGUUAAAUCUCCAACUGUAUUUACAGAAAACAGAAUUUGGGACACUGAUUUGUUUUUUAAAAGCCACAGGAAAGAGACUGAUGUCAGAAGUACUAUAGCAGUUUAAGAGAUGUCCAGAUUUCAAGAUCCAUUGC
Non-coding RNA from Anas platyrhynchos (mallard), 1977 nucleotides. NCBI's taxonomy places the organism in Eukaryota, Metazoa, Chordata, Aves, Anseriformes, Anatidae. The record is from RefSeq and is a predicted model, not a curated record.